This 45-nucleotide non-coding RNA is filed under the name Schistosoma haematobium. The record is from RNAcentral. Lineage: Eukaryota; Metazoa; Platyhelminthes; Trematoda; Strigeidida; Schistosomatidae.
AUCAAGCUGACGAGUCCCGAAUAGGACAAAACGCGCGUUUCAGAU